Molecule: ribosomal RNA, 252 nt
Filed under: uncultured bacterium
Lineage: Bacteria
Description: partial 16S ribosomal RNA
Rfam family: Bacterial small subunit ribosomal RNA
Source: RNAcentral
UACGUAGGGUGCAAGCGUUGUCCGGAAUUAUUGGGCGUAAAGAGCUCGUAGGCGGUCUGUCGCGUCGGCUGUGAAAACUCGGGGCUCAACUCCGAGCUUGCAGUCGAUACGGGCAGGCUAGAGUUCGGCAGGGGAGACUGGAAUUCCUGGUGUAGCGGUGAAAUGCGCAGAUAUCAGGAGGAACACCGUGGCGAAGGCGGGUCUCUGGGCCGAUACUGACGCUGAGGAGCGAAAGCGUGGGGAGCGAACAGG